Molecule: ribosomal RNA, 468 nt
Filed under: uncultured bacterium
Lineage: Bacteria
Description: partial 16S ribosomal RNA
Rfam family: Bacterial small subunit ribosomal RNA
Source: RNAcentral
GACGAACGCUGGCGGCGGGCUUAACACAUGCAAGUCGAACGGAAAGGCCCGGCUUUUGUGGGGUGCUCGAAGGAAGAACGGGGGAGUAACACGUGAGUAACCUGUCCUUGACGUUGGGAAAACUUAAGGCAACUGAGGCUAAUACCGGAUAGGACCUCCUGCUGCAUGAUGGGGGUGGGAAAGUUUCGGCAGUUGGGGAUGGACUCGCUGCUUAUCAGGUUGUUUGUGUGGUAGUGUCUUACCAAGGCUUUGACGGGUAGCCGGCCUGAGCUGGUGAGCUGCCCCAUCGGGCCUGAGCUACGGCCCAGACCCCUACGGGAGGCGGAAGUGGGGAAUAUUGCACAAUGGGUGGAAGCCUGAUGCAGCAACGCCGCGUGCGGGAUGUCGGCCUUCGGUUUGUAAUCCGCUUUCGCCUGUGACGAAGCGUGAGUGACGGUAAUGGGUAAAGAAGCACCGGCUAACUACGUG